Molecule: ribosomal RNA, 381 nt
Filed under: uncultured bacterium
Lineage: Bacteria
Description: bacterial SSU rRNA
Rfam family: Bacterial small subunit ribosomal RNA
Source: RNAcentral
AUUGAACGCUGGCGGCAUGCCUUACACAUGCAAGUCGAACGGCAGCGCGGGCUUCGGCCUGGCGGCGAGUGGCGAACGGGUGAGUAAUACAUCGGAACGUGCCCUAGAGUGGGGGAUAACUAGUCGAAAGAUUAGCUAAUACCGCAUACGAUCUACGGAUGAAAGCGGGGGACCGUAAGGCCUCGCGCGAUUGGAGCGGCCGAUAUCAGAUUAGCUAGUUGGUGAGGUAAUGGCUCACCAAGGCGACGAUCUCUAGCUGGUUUGAGAGGAUGAUCAGCCACACUGGAACUGAGACACGGUCCAGACUCCUACGGGAGGCAGCAGUGGGGAAUAUUGGACAAUGGGCGCAAGCCUGAUGCAGCAACGCCGCGUGAGGGAUGG